GACCGUGGGGGGAAGGACUGGUACCGUAGGCUCAGAGGUUGUUAUUACAAUGAUGGCCACUGAUGUUUGAUUGGAUGCUAUGGAUUGACUGAUAAUGAUUGUAACAUUGAUUGGUCUGAGGCACGGAGUGACCGAGGAGGGAGGAUCCAGAACCAUGGGUUCAGAGGUUGAUAUUACAGUGAUGACCACUGAGAUGGUGGAACCGGUGUUAAGGCAAGGUUGGAUUUUGGCAGUGGUUGUGAGGCUCGUGUCUAUGAGACAACGGAUGCUAAUGGACAUCACUUUUACUAUUUUAGUUCUUCCUUUUUUAUGUAUAUAUAUAUAAAAUGUAUAGUAGGUAAUAUUGUAACAUGUGGUUGUUUAUAGACAUGGAAAUUUGUAUUAUACAAUUUAUCCUUUUAGUA
Long non-coding RNA from Macadamia integrifolia, 404 nucleotides. RefSeq lists it as uncharacterized. The transcript has 2 exons. NCBI's taxonomy places the organism in Eukaryota, Viridiplantae, Streptophyta, Magnoliopsida, Proteales, Proteaceae. The record is from RefSeq and is a predicted model, not a curated record.